This 696-nucleotide ribosomal RNA is filed under the name uncultured bacterium. RNAcentral describes it as "bacterial SSU rRNA". It matches the Rfam family "Bacterial small subunit ribosomal RNA", at positions 32 to 715 of the family's 1533-position model. The record is from RNAcentral.
AACGCUAGCUACAGGCUUAACACAUGCAAGUCGAGGGGAAACGACAUUGAAAGCUUGCUUUUGAUGGGCGUCGACCGGCGCACGGGUGAGUAACGCGUAUCCAACCUGCCCACCACUUGGGGAUAACCUUGCGAAAGUAAGACUAAUACCCAAUGACGUCUCUAGAAGACAUCUGAAGGAGAUUAAAGAUUUAUCGGUGAUGGAUGGGGAUGCGUCUGAUUAGCUUGUUGGCGGGGUAACGGCCCAUCAAGGCGACGAUCAGUAGGGGUUCUGAGAGGAAGGUCCCCCACAUUGGAACUGAGACACGGUCCGAACUCCUACGGGAGGCAGCAGUGAGGAAUAUUGGUCAAUGGGCGAGAGCCUGAACCAGCCAAGUAGCGUGCAGGAUGACGGCCCUAUGGGUUGUAAACUGCUUUUAUAAGGGAAUAAAGUGAGUCUCGUGAGACUUUUUGCAUGUACCUUAUGAAUAAGGACCGGCUAAUUCCGUGCCAGCAGCCGCGGUAAUACGGAAGGUUCGGGCGUUAUCCGGAUUUAUUGGGUUUAAAGGGAGCGUAGGCCGGAGAUUAAGCGUGUUGUGAAAUGUAGACGCUCAACGUCUGCAUUGCAGCGCGAACUGGUUUCCUUGAGUACGCACAAAGUGGGCGGAAUUCGUGGUGUAGCGGUGAAAUGCUUAGAUAUCACGAAGAACUCCGAUUG